This 54-nucleotide non-coding RNA is filed under the name unclassified sequences. The record is from RNAcentral.
GCCUAAAAGGUAGGAAGUAUUACCUACCUUUUGGGCUACAGGUAGCACAUGAAA